Non-coding RNA from Mycena rebaudengoi, 84 nucleotides. The record is from the annotation of a GenBank genome assembly. NCBI's taxonomy places the organism in Eukaryota, Fungi, Basidiomycota, Agaricomycetes, Agaricales, Mycenaceae.
GUCCUGGUUGAUUAAUGGUAACUCACCCGCACCGCUCACGGCGAAUUGAUGUGGGAGACGGAGGUUCGAAUCCUCCUUAGGGCA